AGAGUUUGAUCAUGGCUCAGGACGAACGCUGGCGGCGUGCUUAACACAUGCAAGUCGAACGAUGAUGCCCAGCUUGCUGGGCGGAUUAGUGGCGAACGGGUGAGUAACACGUGAGUAACCUGCCCUUGACUUCGGGAUAACUCCGGGAAACCGGGGCUAAUACCGGAUAUGAGCCGUCCUCGCAUGGGGGUGGUUGGAAAGUUUUUCGGUCAGGGAUGGGCUCGCGGCCUAUCAGCUUGUUGGUGGGGUGAUGGCCUACCAAGGCGACGACGGGUAGCCGGCCUGAGAGGGCGACCGGCCACACUGGGACUGAGACACGGCCCAGACUCCUACGGGAGGCAGCAGUGGGGAAUAUUGCACAAUGGGCGAAAGCCUGAUGCAGCGACGCCGCGUGAGGGAUGAAGGCCUUCGGGUUGUAAACCUCUUUCAGCAGGGAAGAAGCGCAAGUGACGGUACCUGCAGAAGAAGCGCCGGCUAACUACGUGCCAGCAGCCGCGGUAAUACGUAGGGCGCAAGCGUUGUCCGGAAUUAUUGGGCAUAAAGAGCUCGUAGGCGGUUUGUCGCGUCUGGUGUGAAAACUCGAGGCUCAACCUCGAGCUUGCAUCGGGUACGGGCAGACUAGAGUGCGGUAGGGGAGACUGGAAUUCCUGGUGUAGCGGUGGAAUGCGCAGAUAUCAGGAGGAACACCGAUGGCGAAGGCAGGUCUCUGGGCCGCAACUGACGCUGAGGAGCGAAAGCAUGGGGAGCGAACAGGAUUAGAUACCCUGGUAGUCCAUGCCGU
RNAcentral lists this ribosomal RNA (781 nucleotides) under uncultured bacterium. RNAcentral describes it as "bacterial SSU rRNA". It matches the Rfam family "Bacterial small subunit ribosomal RNA", at positions 8 to 803 of the family's 1533-position model. The record is from RNAcentral.